RNAcentral lists this non-coding RNA (218 nucleotides) under Polyozosia dispersa. Lineage: Eukaryota; Fungi; Ascomycota; Lecanoromycetes; Lecanorales; Lecanoraceae. The record is from RNAcentral.
AGUUAGGGGAUCGAAGACGAUUGACCAGGGGUAUUUGUCGUCCACAGGUGCUGCAACCGACCUAGCCGGGAGCCAUCCGUCGCGCACAUCACCACUGCUGGCUCCUUCGGGUACCACAGCCAAGCUCCUCGCCGAGGCCGUCUACAAGACUCAACGUUAGAUGGCGCGCGACGUUUCUAAUAGAGUCGAGUCCCGCUCGUCACGGGUACCGUCGUAGU